Small nuclear RNA from Bos indicus x Bos taurus (hybrid cattle), 111 nucleotides. The record is from Ensembl. Lineage: Eukaryota; Metazoa; Chordata; Mammalia; Artiodactyla; Bovidae.
CCAGCAUCUUUCUACUGGCUGGACAUCCUGACCUUCUAAUCCCAACGUAACUGAUUGGCAUGGCCCCUUUACAAGGAUGACGUGCAAAUUAGUGAAGCAUUCCAUAAUUAU